This 26-nucleotide non-coding RNA is filed under the name Mus musculus (house mouse). The record is from RNAcentral. Lineage: Eukaryota; Metazoa; Chordata; Mammalia; Rodentia; Muridae.
UCAAUCAGGAAGGAGGGUGCACUGCC